AGGGUUUGAUCCUGGCUCAGAACGUACGCUGGCGGCACGCCUAACACAUGCAAGUCGAACGAAGUAGCAAUACUUAGUGGCAGACGGGUGAGUAACAUGUAGGUAUCUACCCUUUGGCCUGGAAUAACACGAGGAAACUUGUGCUAAUACCGGAUAAGUCUUUACAGAGAAAGCUUUAUGCACCAUUGGAUGAGCCUGCACUUGAUUAGUUUGUUGGUGGGGUAAUGGCCUACCAAGACUGUGAUCAAUAGCUGAUUUGAGAGGAUGAUCAGCCACAUUGGGACUGAGACACGGCCCAAACUCCUACGGGAGGCAGCAGUGGGGAAUCUUGCACAAUGGAGGAAACUCUGAUGCAGCGAUGCCGCGUGAGUGAAGAAGGCCCUUGGGUUGUAAAGCUCUUUCGUCGGGGAAGAAAAUGACUGUACCCGAAUAAGAAGGUCCGGCUAACUUCGUGCCAGCCGCCGCGGUAA
RNAcentral lists this ribosomal RNA (470 nucleotides) under uncultured bacterium. RNAcentral's name for it is "bacterial SSU rRNA". It matches the Rfam family "Bacterial small subunit ribosomal RNA", at positions 8 to 523 of the family's 1533-position model. The record is from RNAcentral.